RNAcentral lists this ribosomal RNA (768 nucleotides) under uncultured marine bacterium. RNAcentral's name for it is "bacterial SSU rRNA". It matches the Rfam family "Bacterial small subunit ribosomal RNA", at positions 73 to 837 of the family's 1533-position model. The record is from RNAcentral.
AUCUAGCUUGCUAGAUGCUGACGAGUGGCGCACGGGUGCGUAACGCGUAUACAAUCUACCUUUAACUGAGGGAUAGCCCAGAGAAAUUUGGAUUAAUACCUCAUAGUAUUAUAUUAAGGCAUCUUUUUAUAAUUGAAACUCCGGUGGUUAAAGAUGAGUAUGCGUCCUAUUAGCUUGUUGGUAAGGUAAAAGCUUACCAAGGCUACGAUAGGUAGGGGGCCUGAAAGGGUGAUCCCCCACACUGGUACUGAGACACGGACCAGACUCCUACGGGAGGCAGCAGUGAGGAAUAUUGCACAAUGGAGGAAACUCUGAUGCAGCCAUGCCGCGUGCAGGAUGAAUGCCCUAUGGGUUGUAAACUGCUUUUAUACAAGAAGAAACCUCGGUACGUGUACCGACUUGACGGUAUUGUAUGAAUAAGCACCGGCUAACUCCGUGCCAGCAGCCGCGGUAAUACGGAGGGUGCAAGCGUUAUCCGGAUUUAUUAGGUUUAAAGGGUCCGCAGGCGGAAUAUUAAGUCAGUGGUGAAAGCCUACAGCUCAACUGUAGAACUGCCAUUGAAACUGUUAUUCUCGAGUAUGGAUGAAGUGGGCGGAAUAUGUCAUGUAGCGGUGAAAUGCAUAGAUAUGACAUGGAACACCAAUUGCGAAGGCGGCUCACUAAACCAUUACUGACGCUCAUGGACGAAAGCGUGGGGAGCGAACAGGAUUAGGUACCCUGGUAGUCCACGCCGUAAACGAUGAUCACUAGAUGUUGGCGAUAUAAUGU